This 322-nucleotide ribosomal RNA is filed under the name uncultured eukaryote. RNAcentral describes it as "partial 18S ribosomal RNA". It matches the Rfam family "Eukaryotic small subunit ribosomal RNA", at positions 1470 to 1796 of the family's 1831-position model. The record is from RNAcentral.
CCCUUAGAUGUUCUGGGCCGCACGCGUGCUACACUGAGUGGAUCAGCGGGUCAGGUUGCGCGAAAGUGUUUCCUAAUCUUGAAAUCCGCUCGUGAUGGGGAUUGACGGUUGCAAUUUUCCGUCAUGAACGAGGAAUACCUUGUAAGCGCGGGUCAUCAUCCCGCGCUGAAUACGUCCCUGCCCUUUGUACACACCGCCCGUCGCUCCUACCGAUUGAGUGGUCCGGUGAGGCUUUGGGAUCUGAGCGGAAAGAGCGUUUCGCUGUUUCUGCUCGGAAAACUCAGUCGAACCUUAUCGUUUAGAGGAAGGAGAAGUCGUAACA